Molecule: ribosomal RNA, 487 nt
Filed under: uncultured Desulfovibrio sp.
Lineage: Bacteria; Pseudomonadati; Thermodesulfobacteriota; Desulfovibrionia; Desulfovibrionales; Desulfovibrionaceae
Description: bacterial SSU rRNA
Rfam family: Bacterial small subunit ribosomal RNA
Source: RNAcentral
GAAACUCGAAAGGAAGUUGACGGGGCCCGCACAAGCGGUGGAGUAUGUGGUUUAAUUCGAUGCAACGCGAAGAACCUUACCUAGGUUUGACAUCCGGAAAACUUCCCGAAAGGAAGGGUGCCCUUCGGGGAAUUCCGAGACAGGUGCUGCAUGGCUGUCGUCAGCUCGUGCCGUGAGGUGUUGGGUUAAGUCCCGCAACGAGCGCAACCCUAUUGCCAGUUGCUACCAGGUAAUGCUGGGCACUCUGGUGAGACUGCCCCGGUUAACGGGGAGGAAGGUGGGGACGACGUCAAGUCAUCAUGGCCCUUACGCCUAGGGCUACACACGUACUACAAUGGCGCAUACAAAGGGCAGCGAUACCGCGAGGUGGAGCCAAUCCCAAAAAGUGCGUCCCAGUCCGGAUUGCAGUCUGCAACUCGACUGCAUGAAGUUGGAAUCGCUAGUAAUUCGAGAUCAGCAUGCUCGGGUGAAUGCGUUCCCGGGCCUU